GACGAACGCCGGCGGCGUGCUUAACACAUGCAAGUCGAACGGAAAGGCCUGCUUUCCCUUGUGGAUUGCGGGUACUCGAGUGGCGAACGGGUGAGUAACACGUGAGUGAUCUGCCCCCAACUUGGGUAUAAGCCUGGGAAACUGGGUCUAAUUCCCGAUAGGACUGCAGGGUGGUGCCUGUGGUGGAAAACGAUUUUCUAGUGGUUGGGGAUGAGCUCGCGGCCUAUCAGCUUGUUGGUGGGGUAAUGGCCUACCAAGGCGGCGACGGGUAGCCGGCCUGAGAGGGUGGACGGCCACAUUGGGACUGAGAUACGGCCCAGACUCCUACGGGAGGCAGCAGUGGGGAAUAUUGCACAAUGGGCGGAAGCCUGAUGCAGCGACGCCGCGUGGGGGAUGACGGCCUUCGGGUUGUAAACUCCUUGCGACCGCGAGGAAGCCACCUGGUUGGAAGGGUGGUGACGGUAGUGGUAGAAGAAGCACCGGCUAACUACGUG
RNAcentral lists this ribosomal RNA (494 nucleotides) under uncultured bacterium. RNAcentral's name for it is "partial 16S ribosomal RNA". It matches the Rfam family "Bacterial small subunit ribosomal RNA", at positions 28 to 507 of the family's 1533-position model. The record is from RNAcentral.